RNAcentral lists this ribosomal RNA (325 nucleotides) under uncultured eukaryote. RNAcentral's name for it is "partial 18S ribosomal RNA". It matches the Rfam family "Eukaryotic small subunit ribosomal RNA", at positions 1470 to 1796 of the family's 1831-position model. The record is from RNAcentral.
CCCUUAGAUGUCCUGGGCCGCACACGCGCUACACUGAUGCAUUCAACGAGUUUCACCUUGGCCGAGAGGCCUGGGCAAUCUUUUAAACCUGCAUCGUGAUAGGGAUAGAUUAUUGCAAUUGUUAAUCUUGAACGAGGAAUUCCUAGUAAACGCAAAUCAUCAAUUUGCAUUGAUUACGUCCCUGCCCUUUGUACACACCGCCCGUCGCACCUACCGAUUGAAUGGUCCGGUGAAGCCUCGGGAUUGUGGCCAGUUCACUUUAUUGGGAGUUGGCUGUGAGAACUUGUCUAAACCUUAUCAUUUAGAGGAAGGUGAAGUCGUAACA